Transfer RNA from Exophiala spinifera, 107 nucleotides. It matches the Rfam family "tRNA". Rfam says of the family: Transfer RNA (tRNA) molecules are approximately 80 nucleotides in length. Their secondary structure includes four short double-helical elements and three loops (D, anti-codon, and T loops). Further hydrogen bonds mediate the characteristic L-shaped molecular structure. tRNAs have two regions of fundamental functional importance: the anti-codon, which is responsible for specific mRNA codon recognition, and the 3' end, to which the tRNAs corresponding amino acid is attached (by aminoacyl-tRNA synthetases). tRNAs cope with the degeneracy of the genetic code in two manners: having more than one tRNA (with a specific anti-codon) for a particular amino acid; and 'wobble' base-pairing, i.e. permitting non-standard base-pairing at the 3rd anti-codon position. The record is from Rfam. Lineage: Eukaryota; Fungi; Ascomycota; Eurotiomycetes; Chaetothyriales; Herpotrichiellaceae.
GGUUUUGUAGUGUAGCGGUUAUCACUCCGGAUUCUGAGAAUUUGUCCCCUUCGAUGAAAACAAAACGAAGUAUUCCGGCAACCCCGGUUCGAAUCCGGGCAAGACCU